UGGCUGAUCUGCAGCAAGAGCAUCACAGAGAGAUCGAAGGCCUGCUGGAAAACAUCCGGCAGCUGAGCAGAGAGCUGCGGCUACAGAUGCUCAUCAUUGAUAACUUCAUUCCUCAGGAAUAUCAGGAGAUGAUUGAGAACUAUGUGCACUGGAAUGAGGACAUUGGAGAAUGGCAGCUGAAAUGUGUGGCCUACACCGGCAACAACAUGAGAAAACAGACACCUGUGUCGGACAAGAAAGAAAAAGAUCCAUUUGAAGUAGACCUGUCCCAUGUUUAUCUGGCCUACACUGAGGAGAGCAUGAGA
Sinocyclocheilus rhinocerous is the source of this 305-nucleotide long non-coding RNA. RefSeq lists it as uncharacterized. The record is from RefSeq and is a predicted model, not a curated record. The transcript has 4 exons. NCBI's taxonomy places the organism in Eukaryota, Metazoa, Chordata, Actinopteri, Cypriniformes, Cyprinidae.